RNAcentral lists this long non-coding RNA (403 nucleotides) under Spirodela polyrhiza (greater duckweed). RNAcentral describes it as "long non-coding RNA (SPOL_LNC002104)". Lineage: Eukaryota; Viridiplantae; Streptophyta; Magnoliopsida; Alismatales; Araceae. The record is from RNAcentral.
GCGAUGAUGGCCUCGCCGUUCGUCAACUCGUCCAAUUGCUGAAUGGCGUACUGAGGAGGGAUCAAGUCUCCGAAGGUCUUGAAGUCCAGAGGGUACUUGGCCUUCUGCUCAUCGAGCUCCUCCCUCCAGGCAGAGAAGUCGAGCUUCUGGUGAGACCCACUCUCUUCCAACAAUUCGUUCAGUCCUUGCAGCGCCAACUUCACGUCGCCACAGAUGGAAAUAUGGGGUUGCUUGUUCUUCCCGAUCUCUGCAGGGUCGAUGUCGAUGUGCACAAUUUUGGAUCGGCUGGCGAACGCCUCGACCUUCCCCGUGACCCGAUCAUCAAACCUCACGCCGAAGGCAAGCAGCAGGUCCGAUCUGUCGAUGGCGUAAUUAGCGUACACCGUACCGUGCAUGCCCAGCA